This 634-nucleotide ribosomal RNA is filed under the name Microbotryum shykoffianum. RNAcentral's name for it is "LSU rRNA". It matches the Rfam family "Eukaryotic large subunit ribosomal RNA", at positions 37 to 668 of the family's 3401-position model. The record is from RNAcentral. Lineage: Eukaryota; Fungi; Basidiomycota; Microbotryomycetes; Microbotryales; Microbotryaceae.
UGCAUAUCAAUAAGCGGAGGAAAAGAAACUAACAAGGAUUCCCCUAGUAACGGCGAGUGAAGCGGGAAAAGCUCAAAUUUGUAAUCUGGCGCCUUCGGCGUCCGAGUUGUAAUCUCGAGAAGUAUUUUCCGCGCUGGACCGCACAUAAGUCUGUUGGAAUACAGCGUCAUAGUGGUGAGAACCCCGUAUAGGGUGCGGAUGCCCAGUGCUUUGUGAUAUACUUUCGAAGAGUCGAGUUGUUUGGGAAUGCAGCUCAAAUGGGGUGGUAAAUUCCAUCUAAAGCUAAAUAUUGGCGAGAGACCGAUAGCGAACAAGUACCGUGAGGGAAAGAUGAAAAGCACUUUGGAAAGAGAGUUAACAGUACGUGAAAUUGUUGGAAGGGAAACGCUUGAAGUCAGACUUGCAUUUUGGAGUUCAGCCGCAAGGUGUAUUCUUCAAUUCGCAGGCCAGCAUCAGUUUCUGGGGGUGGAAAAGCGCGGCUGGAAGGUGGCAGUCUCGGCUGUGUUAUAGCUGGCCGCUGGAUUCACUUUUGGGGACUGAGGAACGCAGUACGCUUUUUGCAAGACCCUCGGGUCUUUCGUACUUAGGAUGCUGGUGGAAUGGCUUUAAACGACCCGUCUUGAAACACGGACCA